RNAcentral lists this ribosomal RNA (451 nucleotides) under uncultured bacterium. Its description in RNAcentral is "bacterial SSU rRNA". It matches the Rfam family "Bacterial small subunit ribosomal RNA", at positions 10 to 507 of the family's 1533-position model. The record is from RNAcentral.
AGUUUGAUCAUGGCUCAGAACAACGCUGGCGGCAGGCCUAACACAUGCAAGUCGAGCGAACCCUUCGGGGUUAGCGGCGGACGGGUUAGUAACGCGUGGGAAUCUACCCAGUUCUGCGGAAUAACACAGGGAAACUUGUGCUAAUACCGCAUACGCCCUCCGGGGGAAAGAUUUAUCGGAAUUGGAUGAGCCCGCGUUAGAUUAGCUAGUUGGUGGGGUAAAGGCCUACCAAGGCGACGAUCUAUAGCUGGUCUGAGAGGGAUGAUCAGCCACACUGGGACUGAGACACGGCCCAGACUCCUACGGGAGGCAGCAGUGGGGAAUAUUGGACAAUGGGCGAAAGCCUGAUCCAGCCAUGCCGCGUGAGUGAUGAAGGCCUUAGGGUUGUAAAGCUCUUUCAGUGGGGAUGAUAAUGACAGUACCCACAGAAGAAGCCCCGGCUAACUUCGUG